This 386-nucleotide ribosomal RNA is filed under the name uncultured Verrucomicrobiota bacterium. Its description in RNAcentral is "bacterial SSU rRNA". It matches the Rfam family "Bacterial small subunit ribosomal RNA", at positions 976 to 1365 of the family's 1533-position model. The record is from RNAcentral. Lineage: Bacteria; Pseudomonadati; Verrucomicrobiota.
UGGCCUUGACAUGCUUAGUUCAGGCGUGGAAACACGCUGGCCCGCAAGGGCGAUUUGCACAGGUGCUGCAUGGCUGUCGUCAGCUCGUGUCGUGAGAUGUUGGGUUAAGUCCCGCAACGAGCGCAACCCUCGUGGUUAGUUAUUCCCGGGCAACCGGAAUCUGACCAGACUGCCCUGUGAAACGGGGAGGAAGGUGGGGACGACGUCAAGUCCGUAUGGCCCUUACGGCCAGGGCUGCACACGUACUACAAUGCCCAAUACAGAGGGACGCAAGACCGCAAGGUGGAGCUAAUCCCGUAAAGUUGGGCCCAGUUCGGAUUGGAGGCUGCAACUCGCCUCCAUGAAGUUGGAAUCGCUAGUAAUGGCGCAUCAGUACGGCGCCGGAA